Long non-coding RNA from Leopardus geoffroyi (Geoffroy's cat), 2295 nucleotides. RefSeq lists it as uncharacterized. The transcript is spliced from 3 exons. NCBI's taxonomy places the organism in Eukaryota, Metazoa, Chordata, Mammalia, Carnivora, Felidae. The record is from RefSeq and is a predicted model, not a curated record.
UAUAUUUGAGAUAAUUAUUCAGUGAAAUAGUAGUAAGUACUUAAAAACAGCUCUCCAGGGCGGGGAAAAGCCCUGAUUUGUAGCGUUUUCCAAUUUUCCUGGUGUAAAUACUCUUCCAGGGCUGAUUUCAAGCUACCAAUGUGAGGUCACUGAGCACAGAGUUGGGAAGAGAGGGUACACACUUGGCUCCCAAGAGUUAAUAGGAACUAACUCUAGCAUACCACCACAAUUAUCCCUAUAACCUUUGGAGGAAAUGCUUUAAAUACUAACUGCGACAAAAUCUGGACAUGAUGAAAUAGGACUCUAAGGAGCCUCUUUUAUAGACGAAUAGAAGGAUUUUUUAAAGUAUUUUUUUUCUAACUGUAAGACAUUGCUCAAGUCAGAAAAUCUUACAAAACAUGAAAGAUAUUUAAUUUUACUUCUCAAACGAUGGGUUUGGACUCUACAUAAGUUUCAUACUUACUGCAAUAGAAGUAUCAAAAGAUGAAAGCUAGAAAUGAUGUCGGGAACACACCGUCCUUUACCAACCAUUAAUCAUACCUACUAGCAUGGGAGGGAAAGAGGGAAAUCAAAUAUGGCCCCUGCAAACAUUGGUGGCUUUAAUAUGCAGUGUCUAGAAAUGAGGCUCCAUUUCCGAGUUGUAAGAUUAUGAAGAUUAAGGAGGGUAUUUCUCUCUGUCCAACACCACAAAUUAAAAUGAAGUCUUCCUUAUUAGUAUUUUAGCUCAGUUUUGCAGCAAUGAAAUUCUCUCGUCCUAAGGGAGCAAUGGCAAGUUCUACCAAGAGCGUACUGUGCAGGAGGAAGAAGAAGGUGGGUACGUUUGGGAAGGGCUGACCACACGGAGCAAUUGCCACAGUUAAAGGAUUUUUAAAUCUCGAGGACAGUGAGAUUACAAUAGCAAAUGCUGGAAACGUGUGGGGCUUCAAACGUUUCCCCAGGGAAAUAAUGGCAGCCCUAUCGCCUCAUGGAACCUCACAGAUAAAUUCCAAAGAAUCUGAGCCCAUCCUCAUCAGUCUGUCAAAUUUCCACAGACCCUCUUCCCACAAACCAGUGUUAAAACAAAAAAGAUACCUAGGUGAAAAGAGCUAAGGAAAUGCUGUCUCAGAGUCUGAAUUCUUCUUUUACUUAAAACAAUCCUCUAUUCCUAGAACUUGCCUUAUUAGAGCUAGAAUCAAGUGGUUUAAUCCAUGGCUCUGAAAACAAAGUCUGGUCAGGACGGAAUCCAAACAUCUGAGAUCCGCACGAAUAAAUGUCCCCGGGGUGACUAUUGCAUCUGGAAGGGUAGGAGCCAUUUCUACUCUCUAGGAGUUGCACAGAAAGGAAAGGAGAAGCAUGCUGGAUUCCAGGCUGUCUUGCUCCUGGUGUCUGAUGUCAUUGCAGAGGCCACCAGUGGCCCAGAGUGAGUCCAGCUGGCAGAUGACUGGAUAGCCUACAGGGCUACCCUGGGCUUAUCUUCUUGGCUGCAAGCCUCUGAGCUGUGGGGCUCUGUCUGAACGGCCAGAUUCCAUACCCAAGCAGAGGCUGCACACUACCGGUGACAUCCAACCGGUCGGCAAUGAGCUUCUGGGCAAUUCUUCCAAGAGACUAGAUGGACACCUGGAGCCAAACUUUAUCAGACUCGCUGAAGUUUGACCCUUAUAAACAGUUCAGUUCUCCAGAGUUUUCUGGCUUGCAUGUGGUUGGAAGUGGGACCGUGCCAAGUUCCGAGUCCAGCUUUGAAAUGUUUAUCCUGUAGCACCUGCUCCAAAACACGAGGUUUGUGUCAUGAUCUCAGUUAUAAUUCACAAAGAAGCUGGAAGAUGUUUGGCCUUUGAAAAGGAACACCCCUCUCUUCAUACCCAUGACAUUAACCAAGAUUACCAAGAUUCUGAAGUCUGAAAAGGGGAUUGCAUCUACUCCUCUGGCUUCAACUAUCACCUAUACCCUGAUUACUCCCAGAUUUUAAUCUCUGGCCCAGAUCUUUAUCUCCUGGGCUCCAGACCUGAAAUUUCAACUGCCUCCUGGGCAUCUCUAUUUGGAAGUCCCACAGGUAAUCUUAUCUUUAUAGGUCCUAAAUCAAAUUUGGCAUUUUAUUUCUCUACACCAAAACCUGCUGCCUCCCUAUGGCCCCUACCUUGGGCAAUUGGGUCUUGUUUCAUCCAGUGAAUCAAGCCAGAACCUGGCAGCCCUCCUCCACAUCUCUCUUUCUCAUGCCUCCAUCCAAUGAAUUGCCAAAUUCUGUUGUUUCUUGGUAUUUCUUCCUUCCUUCCUUCCUUCCUUCCUUCCUUCCUUCCUUCCUUCCUUCCUUCCUUUCUU